GAUAAACGCUGGCGGCGCACAUAAGACAUGCAAGUCGAACGGAAGUCGUUAUACAAGGAGAGAAGAUUUAUCGGAUUGAAUUAUAUAACAAUGGCUUUAGUGGCGGACUGGUGAGUAACGCGUAAGAAAUCUACCUAUCAGAGGGGAACAACAAUGAGAAAUCAUUGCUAAUACCGCAUAUGCCAUAAACAUCGCAUGAUGAAAGUGGGAAAGGAGCAAUCCGCUGAUAGAUGAUCUUGCGUCUGAUUAGUUAGUUGGUGGGGUAAUGGCCUACCAAGACGACGAUCAGUAGCCGGACUGAGAGGUUGAACGGCCACAUUGGGACUGAGAUACGGCCCAGACUCCUACGGGAGGCAGCAGUCGGGAAUAUUGCGCAAUGGAGGAAACUCUGACGCAGUGACGCCGCGUGCAGGAAGAAGGUUUUCGGAUUGUAAACUGCUUUAGACAGGGAAGAGAAAGGACAGUACCUGUAGAAUAAG
This 479-nucleotide ribosomal RNA is filed under the name uncultured bacterium. Its description in RNAcentral is "bacterial SSU rRNA". It matches the Rfam family "Bacterial small subunit ribosomal RNA", at positions 28 to 490 of the family's 1533-position model. The record is from RNAcentral.